RNAcentral lists this ribosomal RNA (392 nucleotides) under uncultured Proteiniphilum sp. Its description in RNAcentral is "bacterial SSU rRNA". It matches the Rfam family "Bacterial small subunit ribosomal RNA", at positions 988 to 1382 of the family's 1533-position model. Lineage: Bacteria; Pseudomonadati; Bacteroidota; Bacteroidia; Bacteroidales; Dysgonomonadaceae. The record is from RNAcentral.
GCAUCUGACCGGCCUUGAAGAGGCACUCCCUUCGGGGCAGAUGUGUAGGUGGCUGCAUGGUUGUCGUCAGCUCGUGCCGUGAGGUGUCGGCUUAAGUGCCAUAACGAGCGCAACCUCAUCAUAGUUACCAUCAGGUAAGGCUGGGGACUCUAAUGAGACUGCCAUCGUAAGAUGUGAGGAAGGUGGGGAUGACGUCAAAUCAGCACGGCCCUUACGUCCGGGGCGACACACGUGUUACAAUGGGUGGUACAAAGGGCAGCUACCUGGCGACAGGAUGCUAAUCUCGAAAACCGCUCUCAGUUCGGAUCGGAGUCUGCAACUCGACUCCGUGAAGCUGGAUUCGCUAGUAAUCGCGCAUCAGCCACGGCGCGGUGAAUACGUUCCCGGGCCUU